CGGGACGGGUGAGUAACGCGUGGGUAACCUGCCUUACACAGGGGGAUAACACUUAGAAAUAGGUGCUAAUACCGCAUAAGCGCACAGCUUUGCAUGAAGCAGUGUGAAAAACUCCGGUGGUGUAAGAUGGACCCGCGUCUGAUUAGCUGGUUGGCAGGGUAAAGGCCUACCAAGGCGACGAUCAGUAGCCGGCCUGAGAGGGUGAACGGCCACAUUGGGACUGAGACACGGCCCAGACUCCUACGGAAGGCAGCAG
RNAcentral lists this ribosomal RNA (256 nucleotides) under uncultured bacterium. Its description in RNAcentral is "partial 16S ribosomal RNA". It matches the Rfam family "Bacterial small subunit ribosomal RNA", at positions 98 to 354 of the family's 1533-position model. The record is from RNAcentral.